GAAAUUAAAUCAAAAGAGAAGAUUAAGAAGCUUGCGGAAGAGAAGAAAAAAAUUUCCGUUAAUCCUAUUACUCACCCGAAAACUUUUUCGGAAAUACUUUCUGCUCUUGAGGAUGUUUCUUCUUUGAAUAACACGAGCGAGUCUAAUACCAAUUUUUUUUAUAAAAUUUCCUCUCGAAAAGGAAGAAAGAACGUUUUUGUUAAAGAACUAAACCGCAUGCUUUUGCUGGCGCAAUCGAAGGCCUUCCAAGAGGAGACUGCCACCGCCGUUCAAUAUUAUAUAGAAAAUACAAUAACUACAACGAAAUUUUCUUGAAC
Long non-coding RNA from Zophobas morio, 317 nucleotides. RefSeq lists it as uncharacterized. The transcript is spliced from 3 exons. The record is from RefSeq and is a predicted model, not a curated record. Lineage: Eukaryota; Metazoa; Arthropoda; Insecta; Coleoptera; Tenebrionidae.